This 460-nucleotide ribosomal RNA is filed under the name uncultured bacterium. Its description in RNAcentral is "partial 16S ribosomal RNA". It matches the Rfam family "Bacterial small subunit ribosomal RNA", at positions 338 to 795 of the family's 1533-position model. The record is from RNAcentral.
CCUACGGGUGGCAGCAGUGAGGAAUAUUGGUCAAUGGGGGAGAGCCUGAACCAGCGAAGUAGCGUGAAGGAUGACGGCCCUACGGGUUGUAAACUUCUUUUAUAAAGGAAUAAAGUGCGGCACGUGUGCCUUUUUGCAUGUACAUUAUGAAUAAGGAUCGGCUAACUCCGUGCCAGCAGCCGCGGUAAUACGGAGGAUCCGAGCGUUAUCCGGAUUUAUUGGGUUUAAAGGGAGUGUAGGUGGGUUGUUAAGUCAGUUGUGAAAGUUUGUGGCUCAACCGUAAAAUUGCAAUUGAUACUGGCAGUCUUGAGUACAGUAGAGGUAGGCGGAAUUCGUGGUGUAGCGGUGAAAUGCUUAGAUAUCACGAAGAACUCCGAUUGCGAAGGCAGCUUACUAAACUGCAACUGACGUUGAUGCUCGAAAGUGUGGGUAUCAAACAGGAUUAGAUACCCGAGUAGUC